GGCAGAUGACGACAAUUCUUGGUGAUAAUGCUGAACGCAACUAACAUCACGAAAUUAGACAAAAAAUCGAGAAAUCGGUCCAUAUGGCAGCUGUAUCCAGCUGCAGCCAAACUGAAUAAGGAUGUCAACUAGUAUAACACAACUCAAUGUCUCAAAUUUCAGAAAAAUCGGAUAAUAAAUGUGGCUUUUAUGGGUCUAAGACCCAAAAUCGGCA
Stomoxys calcitrans (stable fly) is the source of this 214-nucleotide long non-coding RNA. RefSeq lists it as uncharacterized. The transcript is spliced from 2 exons. The record is from RefSeq and is a predicted model, not a curated record. Lineage: Eukaryota; Metazoa; Arthropoda; Insecta; Diptera; Muscidae.